Manis pentadactyla (Chinese pangolin) is the source of this 188-nucleotide small nuclear RNA. RefSeq annotates it as U2 spliceosomal RNA. The transcript has a single exon. The record is from RefSeq and is a predicted model, not a curated record. Lineage: Eukaryota; Metazoa; Chordata; Mammalia; Pholidota; Manidae.
AUCUCUUCUUGGCCUUUUGGCUAAGAUCAAGUGUAACAUCUGUUCUUAUUUUAAUAUCUGAUAUGGCUUCUAUCUGAGGGCAAUGUAUUAAACAGAUUUUUGGAGCAGGGAGAUGGAAUAGGAGCUCGCUCAAUCCACUCUACACACUGACCUGGAAUUGUAGUAUCUCUGGGAAUGGUGAAUCCCGU